UGCCUCCCAACACGUGUGGGGCCUACAUGAACAGGGCAGAACUGACCCGUCCCACCCGGAACAGCAGGGCUCUGCUUGGAAACCGUACAGACACAUUCCCAUUCAGGCCCGUGGGGGAAAAAUUUUUUUUUACAAAGUCUUACUAUGUAGCCCUGGAACUUACUAUGUAGACCAGGCUGGCCUCCAACUCACAGGCGUCGAGCUGACUCAGCCUUCCUAGUGCUGAAAUUAAAGGCCUGUACCACCACA
Molecule: long non-coding RNA, 249 nt
Filed under: Rattus norvegicus (Norway rat)
Lineage: Eukaryota; Metazoa; Chordata; Mammalia; Rodentia; Muridae
Description: long non-coding RNA NONRATT027479
Source: RNAcentral